GUGGGGAAUAUUGGGCAAUGGGCGCAAGCCUGACCCAGCAACGCCGCGUGAGGGAAGAAGGUUUUCGGAUUGUAAACCUCUGUCGCAGAUGACGAAGGAAGUGACGGUAAUCUGUGAGGAAGCCCCGGCUAACUACGUGCCAGCAGCCGCGGUAAUACGUAGGGGGCGAGCGUUGUCCGGAAUUACUGGGCGUAAAGGGAGCGUAGGCGGCCGAUUAAGUUGGAUGUGAAAUCCCCGGGCUUAACUUGGGUGGUGCAUCCAAUACUGGUUGGCUAGAGUACAGGAGAGGAAAGCGGAAUUCCUAGUGUAGCGGUGAAAUGCAUAGAUAUUAGGAGGAACAUCGGUGGCGAAGGCGGCUUUCUGGACUGACACUGACGCUGAGGCUCGAAAGCGUGGGGAGCAAACAGGAUUAGAUACCCUAGUAGUCC
Molecule: ribosomal RNA, 428 nt
Filed under: uncultured bacterium
Lineage: Bacteria
Description: bacterial SSU rRNA
Rfam family: Bacterial small subunit ribosomal RNA
Source: RNAcentral